This 300-nucleotide signal recognition particle RNA is filed under the name Callithrix jacchus (white-tufted-ear marmoset). RNAcentral's name for it is "Metazoan signal recognition particle RNA (ENSCJAG00000045557.3)". It matches the Rfam family "Metazoan signal recognition particle RNA". From Rfam's summary of the family: The signal recognition particle (SRP) is a universally conserved ribonucleoprotein. It is involved in the co-translational targeting of proteins to membranes. Lineage: Eukaryota; Metazoa; Chordata; Mammalia; Primates; Cebidae. The record is from Rfam by way of RNAcentral.
GCAGGGUGCGGUGGUGCGUGCCUGUAGUCCCAGCUACUGGGAGGCUUAGGUGGGAGGAUCGCUUGAUCCCAGGAGUUCUGGGCUGUAGAUCGGCGCUAUGCCGAUCGAGUGUCCACACUAAGUUCAGCAGCAAUAUGGUGACCUUCUGGGAGCUCGGGACCAGUAGCUUGCCUAAGGACGGGUGAACCGGUCCUGGUCGGAAACGGAGAACGUCAAAACUCCAGUGCUGAUCAGUAGUGGGACUGUGCCUGUGAAUAGCCACUGCACUCCAGCCUGGGCAACAGAGAGACCCCGUCUCUA